Urocitellus parryii (Arctic ground squirrel) is the source of this 484-nucleotide long non-coding RNA. RefSeq lists it as uncharacterized. Lineage: Eukaryota; Metazoa; Chordata; Mammalia; Rodentia; Sciuridae. The record is from RefSeq and is a predicted model, not a curated record.
UGUCCUGUUCCAUCAUCCCCUCCCAGCAAGAUUAGUACUGCCUGUUGACUCAAAAGGAGAGGAUUGUGAUAUCAGCAAUAGGAGGCAAGUCUUCUGCCCUGAGGAUACAUCCUGAUUGAAGAAGUGUGAAAAUACAGGUCAGCCACAUCGGCUCUUCAGUGCUCAAGAAGCUGAGUGGUGGUGCUGGGGUUGUGGCUCAGUGGUAGAACACUUGCCAAGCGUGUGUGAGGCAUUGGGUUUGAUUCUCAGCACCCACAUGAUUCCCGUCCACAUUCCAGGGGCGUCGUGAGGGUAUUCAAAUCCUGACCCCAGAAGGCAAAGAACUUCUCAAUUCGGAGACUGCGAAGAGCAUAAUACCCAGCAUUCCGGAUUCCAUAUUUCUGUCCAACAUUCAUCACUUCAUUGUAUACGUGAAGAGCAUACUAUACAAAGAAAGGAAAGUUGUAGAUGGACACAAUACCUUUAUUUUGUUUUUAUGAAGUGC